AUUGAACGCUGGCGGCAGGCCUAACACAUGCAAGUCGAGCGGAAACGACAAUAAAGAUUCUUCGGAUGAUUUGUUGGGCGUCGAGCGGCGGACGGGUGAGUAAAGCCUGGGAAAUUGCCCUGAUGUGGGGGAUAACCAUUGGAAACGAUGGCUAAUACCGCAUAAUAGCUUCGGCUCAAAGAGGGGGACCUUUUAGGCCUCUCGCGUCAGGAUAUGCCCAGGUGGGAUUAGCUAGUUGGUGAGGUAAUGGCUCACCAAGGCGACGUAUCCCUAGCUGGUCUGAGAGGAUAAUCAGCCACACUGCAACUGAGACACGGUCCAGACUCCUACGGGA
Molecule: ribosomal RNA, 334 nt
Filed under: uncultured Gammaproteobacteria bacterium
Lineage: Bacteria; Pseudomonadati; Pseudomonadota; Gammaproteobacteria
Description: bacterial SSU rRNA
Rfam family: Bacterial small subunit ribosomal RNA
Source: RNAcentral